AGGCCUUGACAUACUAAGAACUUUCCAGAGAUGGAUGGUGCCUUCGGGAACUUAGAUACAGGUGCUGCAUGGCUGUCGUCAGCUCGUGUCGUGAGAUGUUGGGUUAAGUCCGCAACGAGCGCAACCCUUUUCCUUAUUUGCCAGCGGGUAAUGCCGGGAACUUUAAGGAUACUGCCAGUGACAAACUGGAGGAAGGCGGGGACGACGUCAAGUCAUCAUGGCCCUUACGGCCAGGGCUACACACGUGCUACAAUGGUCGGUACAAAGGGUUGCUACCUCGCGAGAGGAUGCUAAUCUCAAAAAGCCGAUCGUAGUCCGGAUCGCAGUCUGCAACUCGACUGCGUGAAGUCGGAAUCGCUAGUAAUCGCGGAUCAGAAUGCCGCGGUGAAUACGUUCCCGGGCCUUGUACACACCGCCCGUCACACCAUGGGAGUUUGUUGCACCAGAAGUAGGUAGUCUAACCGCAAGGAGGACGCUUACCACGGUGUGGCCGAUGACUGGGGUGAAGUCGUAACAAGGUAAGCGUAGAUGA
This 532-nucleotide ribosomal RNA is filed under the name uncultured bacterium. RNAcentral's name for it is "bacterial SSU rRNA". It matches the Rfam family "Bacterial small subunit ribosomal RNA", at positions 976 to 1509 of the family's 1533-position model. The record is from RNAcentral.